UAGUACGGCGAGUGAAGCGGGAAGAGCUCAAGCUUAAAAUCUCCGUGCAAGUUUUGCGCGGCGAAUUGUAGUCUAUAGAGGCGUGGUCAGUGAGGGCGCUCGGGGCAAGUUCCUUGGAAGAGGACAGCAUGGAGGGUGAUACUCCCGUUCAUCCCUGGGUGGCUCUUGCGUACGACCCGUUUUCUUUGAGUCGCGUUGUUUGGGAAUGCAGCGCAAAGUAGGUGGUAAAUUCCAUCUAAAGCUAAAUAUUGGUGCGAGACCGAUAGCGAACAAGUACCGUGAGGGAAAGAUGAAAAGAACUUUGAAAAGAGAGUUAAAGAGUACCUGAAACUGCUGAAAGGGAACCGAAUCGUUUCCAGUGUCUAUAAUCCGUGGUAUAUUUCAUUGGUGAGUGUGUGCGUGCGUGUGCUUUGGCAGUGGCUUUUUUGGCUGCGCUGGGCGUGUGUGCUGUGUGUGCUUGCUGGUGCCCUGUGCUGCGGUGGGACGUCAAGGUCAGUUCGUAUGCUGCGGGAAAUGGCUGCCGAGGAGGUAGGGCUUACGCUCCGCGUUUGUCUGUUAUAUCUUGGUGGACGAGUCGUCGCGGUUGGGACUGAGGUGCCUACAACGUGCUUUUGAGUGAGUGUGGGUCUCCGUGUGCGCCGUGUGCGGAUAGCUUGCUAUGCGUGUGUGGUUGUGUGUGGAUUGAUGCGCGCUGUAACUUGUCGCCGUUC
RNAcentral lists this ribosomal RNA (710 nucleotides) under Phytophthora cryptogea. RNAcentral describes it as "eukaryotic LSU rRNA". It matches the Rfam family "Eukaryotic large subunit ribosomal RNA", at positions 81 to 618 of the family's 3401-position model. Lineage: Eukaryota; Oomycota; Peronosporomycetes; Peronosporales; Peronosporaceae. The record is from RNAcentral.